This 324-nucleotide unclassified non-coding RNA is filed under the name soil metagenome. RNAcentral describes it as "partial contains 5.8S ribosomal RNA, internal transcribed spacer 2, and large subunit ribosomal RNA". The stretch from base 1 to 120 matches the Rfam family "5.8S ribosomal RNA", at positions 35 to 154 of the family's 154-position model. The record is from RNAcentral.
GAUGAAGAACGUAGCGAAAUGCGAUAAGUAGUGUGAAUUGCAGAAUUCAGUGAAUCAUCGAAUCUUUGAACGCACAUUGCGCCCCUUGGUAUUCCAUGGGGCAUGCCUUUUCGAGCGUCAUUUGUACCUUCAAGCUUUGCUUGGUGUUGGGUGUUUGUCCUGAGGGACUCGCCUUAAAGUAAUUGGCAGCCAGUGUUUUGGUUUUGAAGCGCAGCACAAGUCGCGAUUCAAGGCUAUACGCCAGCUUCCACAAGCCUUUUUCACUUUUGACCUCGGAUCAGGUAGGGAUACCCGCUGAACUUAAGCAUAUCAAUAAGCGGAGGA